AAUGCGAUAAGUAGUGUGAAUUGCAGAAUUUAGCGAAUCAUCGAAUCUUUGAACGCACAUUGCGCCCCUUGGUAUUCCAUGGGGCAUGCCUGUUCGAGCGUCAUUUCAACCCUCAAGCACUGCUUGGUGUUGGGCGUUUGUCCCGCCUACGCGCGUGGACUCGCCUCAAAGUCAUUGGCAGCUGUUCCCCUUCGGCUCGUAAGCGCAGCACAGUCGGCGCCCGGAGCUCUGGUGGGAUGGCGUCCAGCAAGCUAUAUUUUCAGGCUUGACCUCGGAUCAGGUAGGGAUACCCGCUGAACUUAAGC
RNAcentral lists this unclassified non-coding RNA (305 nucleotides) under plant metagenome. RNAcentral describes it as "partial contains 5.8S ribosomal RNA, internal transcribed spacer 2, and large subunit ribosomal RNA". The stretch from base 1 to 103 matches the Rfam family "5.8S ribosomal RNA", at positions 52 to 154 of the family's 154-position model. The record is from RNAcentral.